RNAcentral lists this ribosomal RNA (716 nucleotides) under Russula aff. leguminosarum. RNAcentral describes it as "partial large subunit ribosomal RNA". The record is from RNAcentral. Lineage: Eukaryota; Fungi; Basidiomycota; Agaricomycetes; Russulales; Russulaceae.
CGCGCUGGACCGUGCACAAGUCUCCUGGAAUGGAGCGUCAUAGAGGGUGAGAAUCCCGUCUUUGGCAUGGAAUCCCAGGGCUUCUGUGAUGCGCUCUCGACGAGUCGAGUUGUUUGGGAAUGCAGCUCARAAUGGGUGGUGAACUCCAUCUAAAGCUAAAUAUUGGCAAGAGACCGAUAGCGAACAAGUACCGUGAGGGAAAGAUGAAAAGCACUUUGGAAAGAGAGUGAAACAGUACGUGAAAUUGUUGAAAGGGAAACGCUUGAAGUCAGUCGCGUUGACCGAGACUCASCCUUGCCUUGGCUUGGUGUACUUCUCGGUUGACGGGUCAGCAUCAAUUUCGAUCCCCGGAUAAUGGCRAGGGAAAGGUGGCACCUUUUUAGGUGUGUUAUAGUCCUCUGUCGCAUACGGGGGUUGGGAUUGAGGAACUCAGCACGCGCCUCUUGGUGUCGGGGCUUUGGCCCACGUUACGUGCUUAGGAUGUUGGCGUAAUGGCUUUAAACGACCCGUCUUGAAACACGGACCAAGGAGUCUAACAUGCCCGCGAGUGUUCGGGUGGAAAACCCGUGCGCGUAAUGAAAGUAAAAGUUGGGACCUCUGUCGUGGAGGGCACCGACGCCCGGACCAGACCUUCUGUGACGGCUCUGCGGUAGAGCGUGUAUGUUGGGGACCCGAAAGAUGGUGAACUAUGCCUGAAUAGGGUGAAGCCAGAGGAA